AUACGUAGGGGGCGAGCGUUGUCCGGAAUGAUUGGGCGUAAAGGGCGCGUAGGCGGCCUGUUAAGUCUGGAGUGAAAGUCCUGUUUUCAAGAUGGGAAUUGCUUUGGAUACUGAUGGGCUUGAGUGCAGGAGAGGUUAUCGGAAUUCCCGGUGUAGCGGUGAAAUGCGUAGAGAUCGGGAGGAACACCAGUGGCGAAGGCGGGUAACUGGACUGCAACUGACGCUGAGGCGCGAAAGUGUGGGGAGCAAACAGGAUUAGAUACCCUGGUAGUCCACACUGUAAACGAUGAAUGCUAGGUGUAAGAGGUAUCGACCCCUUUUGUGCCGGAGUUAACACAAUAAGCAUUCCGCCUGGGGAGUACGGUCGCAAGAUUAAAACUCAAAUGAAUUGGCGGGG
This 397-nucleotide ribosomal RNA is filed under the name uncultured bacterium. Its description in RNAcentral is "partial 16S ribosomal RNA". It matches the Rfam family "Bacterial small subunit ribosomal RNA", at positions 523 to 918 of the family's 1533-position model. The record is from RNAcentral.